AGGAGGACAGUGUUCAUCUUCCUAGAAAAGAUGCAGCAACAGGGCUCCAUCUUGAAGCAGAGAAAACAGUCCUCACCAGACACGAAUCUGCCGGCACCAUGAGUUUGGAUAUCCCAGCCUCCAGAACUAAGGGCACCGUCUAUCAAGCACUUCCCUCGUGACAGGCACGGAGCCAACGUUCCCGUUUGAUUCUUCUCAUCUCCAUAAGGGAGGCAAUGAUGCCAUCCACAGGGGACAGGGACACCCGGAGCGGUGAACGUACUGCUGAGGUCGCUCGGUCAGUAACUGGUGGAGACUUAGACACGAGGUGUCUGACUCCAGAGCCCCUGGCGGCCCAGAACCGAGAUCUUGGCUGACUUUGGAACCACCGAGAGCUGCACAAACGCCGAUGCUUGGGACCCCCAGAUUCGAUUUCACGGCCCGGGCUGCUGUCUUGACCGGGAUUUUCCACACU
RNAcentral lists this long non-coding RNA (454 nucleotides) under Homo sapiens (human). RNAcentral's name for it is "HSALNT0144947". Lineage: Eukaryota; Metazoa; Chordata; Mammalia; Primates; Hominidae. The record is from RNAcentral.